CGUGAGUGCUGUGCAGAGCUGAAGGCCAUUACAGUUUUCCUGGAUGAGCUGUCAUGGAGAGCAAAAGGAGAGACAGCACAUUGCAAACCAGAGAUCAGUGUGAGCUGAUGCACAGAGAGAGGCGUCUCCUGUUUCAGGGGCAGCAGAUGUUGUUCUGAUGCCACACCAGCCAUGCUGCAUCACCCCCCUGGGGACAGCCAGAGGUUGGCAGCACCCAGCAGAGGAUUCUCCCAGGAAAUCUGCCCUGGCACUGCCCCACAGUGCAGCUGCAGGGCAUCUGCCCUCUGCCAUCCCCACACUGAACCGAGGGAACCCUGGUAUGGCGGGCAAUGCCCAUGGAUUUCACUGAGCACCUGCUGCAAGGCAGAUCCACAAACCAGGGCUGGCUCCUGCCCAGGCCAGCAAAGCUGAACCCUUCCAAGCCAGCCCCACACGAGUGUGAGGGCUGCACUAUGCCAGAAGCACUGAAAUAUGCCUGUUCAAGAAAUUGACAGUUCCAUGGGUGAAGAACUAAGAGACUUCAUGGUGGCUGCAAAAAUCUGUGGAGGGGCCAAGGAAAAUGGUUCUGCUCUCCCACCCCCAGACGCCGGAGGGAGAGGACUCUGGGUUGCAGCAGGCACGAAAGAAAAGCUGCAAGGGUUUUCAAAAGACCCAAAGGAUGUGGGAGCCUGUGUCACACUGAAAUUCAGAGGAGAGAAAGUUUGGAAAUGCUCCUUCUCUUUAUAGAUGUAAUCUUUUUGAAACACUGAUGCUUCCCUCAGAGGAAAAAUUCUGCCUUUAUGAGUUUCUAUUCAUUGAUCCCGCACCUCAAGCUGGAAUUCUGAGUGAAAGACAACAUUCCCUGACAAUGGAAGUCAGAGCUGGUUUAUAAGGGGUAAACUUGUCACAGUUUUGGAGACAGGCAAGUUACAAGAACACGCCAAGUUCACACAGCAACAGCUGAGGUUUAUUGUUGGACAUCCCCUUUUAUAGGGGCUUCAAAUUUCCCACCCUUACAGACAUGAUUGGAUGAGGCUGUGAGCUCCACCCAGCUCACUGGCUGUCACCAUCAUAUUUUCUGAAAAAUCCUCUUUGCCCAGGAGUUCUCUCCUGGGAAGCUGAGAAGCCUCGGAGAAAAAGGAAGACAAUAUUAUCUCAUUUGCUUCUCCUGUGUUUUGCUGCUCUGGAAUGUGGUUGGAGAUUGUUUCUCCAACAUGUGAAUUGUUUUGACUUAAUGACCAAUCAUGGUCAGGCUGUGUCAGUCUCUGAGGAGAGUCAUGAGUUUUUAACUAUUAUCUUUCAGCCUCCUGUCUGUAUCCUUUCUCUAUUCUUUAGUAUAGUUUUAUAUUAGCAUUCUUUAAUAAAUAUAAAGCAUUCUUUAAUAAAUAUAAUAUCAUAAAAUAAUA
Molecule: long non-coding RNA, 1385 nt
Organism: Melospiza melodia melodia
Lineage: Eukaryota; Metazoa; Chordata; Aves; Passeriformes; Passerellidae
Exons: 4
Source: RefSeq, a predicted model, not a curated record